Molecule: long non-coding RNA, 5861 nt
Filed under: Nilaparvata lugens (brown planthopper)
Lineage: Eukaryota; Metazoa; Arthropoda; Insecta; Hemiptera; Delphacidae
Description: uncharacterized LOC120355640
Source: RNAcentral
AACUAUUGAUAUUAACUGUGGCAAACAAGGUAAUGGAGGAAAAGUGUGUCAACUUAGGAAGAUUUAGAACUUCACAUUUACCCACUACAGCUGUUAAUACUAAACCAUUCAUUUUGAGUCUCUUAUAAUUUUUAUAGAAGAUGGUUUGUCAUGCAAUUUAACAUACAUCAAAUAUUUAUGUUAACUGUGGCUAACAAGGUAAUAGAGAAAAAGGUGCUAACUUAGGAAGAUGUAGAUGUUCACAUUAACCCACUACAGCUGUUAGUACUGCGCUACUAAUUUCGGGUCUCUUUCAAUUUUCAUUGAACAAGAAUUUUAAAGUAUCAUCUAUUUUCCCACUUCAAUUAAUCCAUUUCUUUGAUAAGUCAUGAUUAGAAAAAGCAUGAAUACUUCAUAACAAAAUUAUAAGAAUCAAAAUACAAUUUUAAUUAUUAAUUUGUUAAUUAUUUGAAAUAUUAUCACAUUUCUCUAGACAACAGCAUGUUCUAUCUCUCUCAUAAAUUUGUUUGAAGUUACAUCAUUCAAAGAUUUGAACCAUUCCCCUAAUGACAUUUUUCCAAUUUACAGCAUGCAAUUAUUGCAUUAAACUCUUUCCUCUUAGUUCUGACAGAUAACUUUCUUCAAGUAGAACUAUAGGUUUAUUUCCAGUAAAAAGGGUUGACAACACAAUUCUAUAGACCUCCAGCCAACUUGUAAUUAAUAGCUGGAUAAAGGUUGUAAUAAGCCUUUGAAUGUUCUUUAUAAAACAGCUAUUUUAGUUUUUUACCUUCAGUAAUUUUUCAUAUAUAUUAAAAUUCAUCAUAUUUAUCAACAUUUGUAUAAAAAUAUUAAGAACGACAAUUUUUAUUGUUCCAUUCAAUUCUCAUUUAAAUUAUUAUUCAAGUUUUAUUGUUCCAUUCAAUUCUCAUUUAAGUUAUUAUUCAAGUUUUAUUUCUUCCAUUUAUAUUUCAUUGUUCCAACAUUUGUAAAGGCUUGGAACCCCAAGGCUAGUUGAUACACUUUAACUUCCAUAUAUCAUCAUAUUUCUCUUUUCAAAAUAAUUAUUAUUUGUUUUAAGUACCACAUAUAAUGCUAUUUGUAAUUGAGUUCACAAAACUCAAAACCCAAAUUUAAUAUCUAUUAUUGUAAUUCCAAAUUCCAUGUUUUCAACUUUUUCAACAUAUUAAUGAAAAGGUCCAGGACUGUCAAGUCUAGUAAACUUAUCUUUUUGUUCGAUUUAUGUUUCAAAUAAUUUUACAAUUUUUGAAAAUUUUCCAUAGGCUCAACUCCCAAGUCCAGUAACUUUUACCAAAAAAUAUUUUCACAGAAACCUCAGUUGAAAAUUUAUCUGAAUUGUUGCCUGUUAUCAAUUUUCUUCCAAUCCAACUAUUUUAAACUUUCUUUUUUUUAGUUUGGAAGUAAUUUUUUUUUUAAAUAAGACUUUUACCUAUUGUAAGUGAUUUUAUGUAGUUAGGGUUGCCUAUAAUGGGAGUUGAAGAUGCCAACUAUUGUAAGCUUAGUUUAGGUUUUAGUUUGUAAGAUAAUUUACUGUAAUUUUUCAUCAGCUACAAGCUGAGCUCUGGCUGUCUUAUUGAGAAUACUCAAUAGAGCAGUAUCUAUAUCAAUUAUAUUUUCUUGCCAACCUCAAUAAUCCCUCUGAUUUUGAUUAUUUUAUAAUUCAUUUUAAAAAUAUGGAUACAAGUUUUGUUUUAAAUCGACAAUUCAAAGCUUUACUAUUUCUAUAAUAAUACUUAUAUUUAAUUAGUUGAUAGUUCAAUGAAAAGAGUAUUAAUUCCAAAUUCUUAAUAUUUUUCUUUCCCAGCUAUGUUAUCAAAAUUAUAAACCAUCAUAUUUAUUUUAAUUGUCAAGCCAAAAACCUUAAGCCCCGCAGACACACAUCAUUUUUUGCUCGUACAGUAUUUUUCCGUCCUUAUAAAUUCUAUUAGAUUAAACAGAUGAUUUCAAACAGAUGAUGUCUGUCAAGCUCCAUUUAAUCUGAUAGAAUUCAUAAGGAUGGCAAAAUAUCGUACAAAAAAAAUCAAUGUGUGUGUGUUGGGCUUUACUUAUUACAUCAAUCCUUUUUAUAUUAAUCACUCCCUUAUGGAUUGAAAAACAUUAUUACUUAUUCCAUACAUUAGUCUAGCCAUAGCUCAGCUUAUGCUGGGUGAACUUUACCUCAAUGUUAUUGUUUCAUUCUCAUUUGUCUACUGUUGAAUAAUAAUUUCAAGAAUGAAAUUGAUCGGCUGUUAUGAUUAUCAUAUUCAAUCCAAAUAAAUAUAUUUCAAAAAUUGUAUUUAAAUAUAUUUUUCAGUAGAAGUCACAGUUGAAAAUUCAUAUAAACUCUUGUCUGUUAUUAAAUUCAUCCAAUCCAACUAUUGUGAAUUUAGCUCUAGUUAGUUUGUAAGUGAAUAAAUUUAAAAAAUACAUUGUCUAUUGUAAGUAGUCUACUGUAUUUGCUCGCGUACGAUGCGCACCCCCAAAAACUAGAGUACAUUUUUAUGAAAAAAUAGACUAAAAAUAUUAUCAAAGUUUUUAUUUGAAACAACGUAUAUAAUGAUUAUUGAUCUACAAAAUAUUCAUUUAAUUAAGUUGAAAUAUAAUAGAUACUGUCAGUUGCACAUAAUUUAUUCGAGCCAAACUUAAGUUUCAAUACACUAAGGCAUCAUCUUUAGUGGUCUUUUUUCAUCUUAAGGUGAUACCUCCUUAGUGCAUUGAAACUUAAGUUUGGCUCAAAUAAAUUAUGUGCAACUGGCAAUAUCGUUUUUAUUCCACUUUAAUAUGGAGAAAUGUCACAAUAUCUCUGUUCAUAGUGUGAAUUUUUUUCAAUUAAUGUUUGAAAAACGUAAAAUACUGUAUUUUGAACUUGGUAUACAUUUAACAAACACAUUAGGAAAAGCUGACUUCUUGAUUAUCGUUGAUUGAUCAUCGUGAACAUUUUUGUCAAACUUUAAAUACCGGCAUUCUGUCUUAUUUUGGAAAAUUACGCGUAUGACGCGAACCAACGAAUUUCGCUUUAUAAUUUUUAAAAAGUAAAAAGUUUUUUUUAAAUAGGUGCGUGUCAUACACUAGCAAAUAUGGUAAUUUGAGGUGGUAAGGGUUGGCUAUAGGGGUGUUGGGAGGCCAAUUGUUGUAAACUAUAGUUUAGUUUUUAGUUUGUAAGUUUGGGAAUUUAUUGUAAAUUCAUCACCCACUAAAAGCUGAGCCCUGGCUGGUCUAUUGAGCAUAAAUUAAUGAGUAUCCAUGAUUAAAUGUCUAUUAUGAUUAUCAUAUUCAAUUGAAAUAAACUAUACCUGAAUUUUAAAAAUUAUAUUGAUAAUAUAUUUUUGCAGAAGUCACAGUUAAAAAGUUAUAUAAAUUCUUGUCUGUUAUUAAAUUUCUUAUUCCAUACAUUAGUCUAGCCAUAGCUCAGCUUAUGCUGGGUGAACAUUACCUCAAUGUUAUUGUUUCAUUAUCAUUUGUCUACUGUUGAAUAAUAAUUUCAAGAAUGAAAUUGAUCGGCUGUUAUGAUUAUCAUAUUCAAUCCAAAUAAAUAUAUUUCAAAAAUUGUAUUUAAAUACAUACCUAUUCUAGCAGAAGUCACAGUUGAAAAUUCAUAUAAAUUCUUGUCUGUUAUAAAACUUCUCCCAUCCAAAUAUUGUGAAUUUAGCUCUAGUUAGUUUGUAAGUGAAUAAAUUUAAAAAAUACAUUGUCUAUUGUAAGUAGUCUACUGUAUUUGCUCGCGUACGAUGCGCACCCCAAAAAAACUAGAGUACAUUUUUAUGAAAAAAUACACUAAAGAUAUUAUCAAAGCUUUUAUUUGAAACAACGUAUAUAAUGAUUAUUGAUCUACAAAAUUUUCAUUUAAUUAAGUUGAAAUAUAAACGAUACUGUCAGUUCCACAUAAUUUAUUUGAGCCAAACUUAAGUUUCAAUACACUAAGGCAUCAUCUUUAGUUGUCUUUUUUCAUCUCAAGAUGAUGCCUCCUUAGUGCAUUGAAACUUAAGUUUGGCUCAAAUAAAUUAUGUACAACUGACAAUAACGUUUUUAUUCCACUUUAAUAUGGAGAAAUGUCACAAUAUAUCUGUUCAUAGUGUGAAUUUUAUUCAAUUGAUGUUUGAAAAACGUAAAAUACUGUAUUUUGAACUUGGUAUACAUUUAACAAACACAUUAGGAAAAGCUGACUUGUUGAUUAUCGUUGAUUGAUCAUCGUGAACAUUUUUGUCAAACUUUAAAUACCGGCAUUCUGUCUUAUUUUGGAAAAUUACGCGUAUGACGCGAACCAACGAAUUUCGCUUUAUAAUUUUUAAAAGUAAAAAGUUUUUUUUAAAUAGGUGCGUGUCAUACACUAGCAAAUAUGGUAAUUUGAGGUGGUAAGGGUUGGCUAUAGGGGUGUUGGGAGGCCAAUUGUUGUAAACUAUAGUUUAGUUUUUAGUUUGUAAGUUUGGGAAUUUAUUGUAAAUUCAUCACCCACUAAAAGCUGAGCCCUGGCUGGUCUAUUGAGCAUAAAUGAAUGAGUAUCCAUGAUUAAAUGUCUAUUAUGAUUAUCAUAUUCAAUUGAAAUAACUAUACCUGAAUUUUAAAAAUUAUAUUGAUAAUAUAUUUUUGCAGAAGUCACAGUUAAAAAAUUAUACAAAUUCUUGUCUGUUAUUAAAUUUCUUAUUCCAUACAUUAGUCUAGCCAUAGCUCAGCUUAUGCUGGGUGAACAUUACCUCAAUGUUAUUGUUUCAUUAUCAUUUGUCUACUGUUGAAUAAUAAUUUCAAGAAUGAAAUUGAUCGGCUGUUAUGAUUAUCAUAUUCAAUCCAAAUAAAUAUAUUUCAAAAAUUGUAUUUAAAUACAUAUUCUAGCAGAAGUCACAGUUGAAAAUUCAUAUAAAUUCUUGUCUGUUAUAAAACUUCUCCCAUCCAAAUAUUGUGAAUUUAGCUCUAGUUAGUUUGUAAGUGAAUAAAUUUAAAAAAUACAUUGUCUAUUGUAAGUAGUCUACUGUAUUUGCUCGCGUACGAUGCGCACCCCAAAAAAACUAGAGUACAUUUUUAUGAAAAAAUACACUAAAGAUAUUAUCAAAGCUUUUAUUUGAAACAACGUAUAUAAUGAUUAUUGAUCUACAAAAUUUUCAUUUAAUUAAGUUGAAAUAUAAACGAUACUGUCAGUUCCACAUAAUUUAUUUGAGCCAAACUUAAGUUUCAAUACACUAAGGCAUCAUCUUUAGUUGUCUUUUUUCAUCUCAAGAUGAUGCCUCCUUAGUGCAUUGAAACUUAAGUUUGGCUCAAAUAAAUUAUGUGCAACUGACAAUAUCGUUUUUAUUCCACUUUAAUAUGGAGAAAUGUCACAAUAUAUCUGUUCAUAGUGUGAAUUUUAUUCAAUUGAUGUUUGAAAAACGUAAAAUACUGUAUUUUGAACUUGGUAUACAUUUAACAAACACAUUAGGAAAAGCUGACUUGUUGAUUAUCGUUGAUUGAUCAUCGUGAACAUUUUUGUCAAACUUUAAAUACCGGCAUUCUGUCUUAUUUUGGAAAAUUACGCGUAUGACGCGAACCAACGAAUUUAGCUUUGUAUUUUUUUAAAAGUAAAAAGUAUUUUUUUUAAAUAGGUGCGUGUCAUACACUAGCAAAUAUGGUAAUUUGAGGUGGUAAGGGUUGGCUAUAGGGGUGUUGGGAGGCCAAUUGUUGUAAACUUAUAGUUUAGUUUUUAGUUUGUAAGUUUGGGAAUUUAUUGUAAUUUCAUCACCCACUAAAAGCUGAGCCCUGGCUGGUCUAUUGAGCAUAAAUAAAUGAGUAUCCAUGAUUAAAUGGCUAUUAUGAUUUUCAUAUUAAAUUGAAAUAAUUAUACCUAAAUUUUAAAAAUUAUAUUGAUAAUAUAUUUUUGCAGAAGUCACAGUUAAAAAAUUAUACAAAUUCUUGUCUGU